GGGGCCACAUCAUCCUAACCGCAUAUUUUUCAAUCCAAGGAAUAAAAAAUUAAUAGCAUCAAUGGCUUGGUACUAUUAAGGGCCCGUUUGGUUCGAGUUAUGUAAUAUUACAAAGUAUCUCGACAUAUCCAGGUAUUUUAGAUUUCGGCGUGAGAUUACUACUGAUGCUGUAUUAGCGCGUUUGGUUUAAUGCAGUAAUGUAAUACUAGAUUACAGUGUUUAUAGCAUUAAUACUUUUGGUUCAGUUUAUAAAAUUUAGUAAUCCUGACAUAAAAGUAUAGUUUUUCCAAAAUUGCCCUUGUUGUGGUCAUUUGAAUAUUAUUUUUUGCGAAAAUGACGAAUGGAGGGAAAGAGAUCGUGAUGAUUACCUGGGAGGACGACGCAAUAGAAAAUGAUAGGUGUUCGUGCGAGAGAGAGAAAGAGAGAGAGAUAGAGAGACAUCGAGAGGGAGAGAAAGCGGCGUGCGAAAGAGAGGGGGAAGGCGAGAGAGAGAUGAAAAUAAUAUUGUUAAUUAGAUUUGGGGUUGUUGGAGGGUAAAAUUGCCAUUUUAAAUAAUAUAUAGUAUUAACGGGUUUCAGUAAUGCAAGAUACACGACCCCCCUCCCGUUAAUAUUUUCGAUGUAAUCCUGCUCGAUUUGUAAUGCUACAUUAACGACUAGAUUACAUAGCGGAUUAACCAAACACAGUUAUCCUGGCAGGAUUGCCUGUAAUCCUGCCAGGAUAACUCGAACC
Molecule: long non-coding RNA, 732 nt
Filed under: Ananas comosus (pineapple)
Lineage: Eukaryota; Viridiplantae; Streptophyta; Magnoliopsida; Poales; Bromeliaceae
Description: long non-coding RNA (ACOM_LNC022901)
Source: RNAcentral